UACGAGGGGCCCAAACGUUAUUCGGAAUUACUGGGCUUAAAGAGUUCGUAGGCGGCAUUGCAAGUAGGGUGUGAAAGCCCUCGGCUCGACCGAGGAAUUGCGCUCUAAACUGCAGUGCUUGAGGAACCUAGAGGUGAGCAGAACAGAUGGUGGAGCGGUGAAAUGCGUUGAUAUCAUCUGGAAUACCGGAGGCGAAGGCGGCUCACUGGGAGUUUUCUGACGCUGAGGAACGAAAGCCAGGGUAGCGAACGGG
Molecule: ribosomal RNA, 253 nt
Filed under: uncultured bacterium
Lineage: Bacteria
Description: partial 16S ribosomal RNA
Rfam family: Bacterial small subunit ribosomal RNA
Source: RNAcentral